UACGGAGGGUGCAAGCGUUAAUCGGAAUUACUGGGCGUAAAGCGUGCGUAGGCGGCUUGUUAAGUCGGAUGUGAAAGCCCCGGGCUCAACCUGGGAAUUGCAUACGAUACUGGCAGGCUAGAGUGUAGCAGAGGUAAGUGGAAUUUCCGGUGUAGCGGUGAAAUGCGUAGAGAUCGGAAGGAACAUCAGUGGCGAAGGCGACUUACUGGGUUAACACUGACGCUGAGGUACGAAAGCGUGGGGAGCAAACAGG
This 253-nucleotide ribosomal RNA is filed under the name uncultured bacterium. RNAcentral describes it as "partial 16S ribosomal RNA". It matches the Rfam family "Bacterial small subunit ribosomal RNA", at positions 524 to 776 of the family's 1533-position model. The record is from RNAcentral.